UUGAGUAUCUAGUUGUGAUGAUUGGAUCUUCAUUGUGUGUAUCCUUUGUGCUCGGUCAUCAGCAUAAUGAUAUACAUAUUCAUGCAUAAACAUGCAUAAACAUAGCAUCAGAUAUUUCAUUGUGCAUUUUACACAUUGACAUAUUCUUCUGAUCCCCUGCUUUGGUGAUAUCAUUCCCCCAUGCAGAUUUGGUGUGUCUGUCCUCCUUCAAUGUAGAGUGUCAGUCCCUUUAGCAGAAAGAGUUUAUCCUUUCUUCUUCCUCAUUGAGUUAUUUCCUUGUGAAUAAUUAUAAUUUUUCCUUUCUCCCCAGUUCAUUAUCAGGAUGGAGCCACUCCCCUUGAGUUAUAUCCUUAUUGGGUUGAGUCUUGUUUGACCUUUU
RNAcentral lists this long non-coding RNA (379 nucleotides) under Lathyrus oleraceus (garden pea). RNAcentral describes it as "Pisum sativum (pea) long non-coding RNA (PSAT_LNC020768)". Lineage: Eukaryota; Viridiplantae; Streptophyta; Magnoliopsida; Fabales; Fabaceae. The record is from RNAcentral.